UACGUAGGGGGCAAGCGUUGUCCGGAUUUAUUGGGCGUAAAGAGCGUGUAGGCGGCCCUGACAGGUCUGCUGUGAAAACUCGAGGCUCAACCUCGAGCUGUCGGUGGAAACCGUGUGGCUAGAGUCCGGAAGAGGAGAGUGGAAUUCCCGGUGUAGCGGUGAAAUGCGCAGAUAUCGGGAAGAACACCCGUGGCGAAGGCGGCUCUCGUGGGACGGACUGACGCUGAGACGCGAAAGCGUGGGGGAGCGA
Molecule: ribosomal RNA, 250 nt
Filed under: uncultured bacterium
Lineage: Bacteria
Description: partial 16S ribosomal RNA
Rfam family: Bacterial small subunit ribosomal RNA
Source: RNAcentral